Non-coding RNA from Mycena leptocephala, 99 nucleotides. Lineage: Eukaryota; Fungi; Basidiomycota; Agaricomycetes; Agaricales; Mycenaceae. The record is from the annotation of a GenBank genome assembly.
GCCCUCGUGGAUCAUGGUUGAUCAUCUUCCUUCAAUUAAAGAACUUGAAAGGGGUCUGGAGUUCCAAAGACAGCGUAGGUUCGAAUCCUACCGAGGGCA